GGUGUGUUGUGUGUGCGUGAUGACAUGGCGGCAACAGCAGCAAUCGGUGGCUCCGGCGUGUCUACUAGUGAGAUGUGCGUGCGUGCAACAGCCAGUAUGUUGUGUGUGUCGUGCUUCCUCUCUGAAUCUUUUAACAUUGAGUUUUCUCUCCAUCUUGUACACUGCAGGGUACCAAGUAGAUAUAUCCGCACAUGUUCGUCAACCGGCUGCAGACGCGACCUUCUAUCAAUAUCUAUUUUAGUUAGUUCUCUACCAAAUCUAAUUCAGUUUAGAUUUUUCCGAUAGUUUGGUGUAUCUCUGUUCUCUAAAUCAAUAUAACCAAGUGUUCAGUAUUCAUUCAGUUUAUUUUCUAUCAAAAUAUAAUUCAGUAUGAAUAAAUGUAAUCAAGUGUGGUCAAUAAUUUCAUCAAAUAGGUCUUGAAGACAUGAUUUCUGUUAAUGUAUUAACAUCAUGACAUGUUCUGUUUAGUGUUUUCUCCUAGGCAUUUCUUUUUCUGUUUUUACUGUCUCUUGCAGCUCGGUGAAUAUAUAUAUCAGAAUUAGUUUAAUCUGAAUCUAAGAAGAAAAUUACAUUUACAGUGUGGCAGUCCUACAGUAAUAAUACAGAGUUUAAACUUGUCAAUUUGUGUACUAAACUCAUGUAUUAGUGAGCCAAUUUAUAGUAGUACUACUACUAUUAGUUCUGCACUUACUAGUACUUGUACCAAGACAACAUACAUGUUAGCUCACUCUCAACCUGGAGACACACCGAGCUAGCACUUGCCAACACAAUGACACACACAUUUCUUAUUCAACUCCUCUGCUCCCUACCUCCAUAUCUAGGUCGCCCUCAGCAAUAGUUCCGCCAACAAGUGGGGAUUGUUGUCUACUGCUUUUUCUAAAUCUUGUUGAUGUUAUUCCCUCUUUUUAACUUUGAUAACUUAACAUUCUAAUUUCCCAACAAGUGGGUCUUGGUGGCACUGCUGCAUGACGCAAAAUAGAGCUUGAGAGGGCUUGUUGCCACGAUGGCCGUGAUGGAGCUGCUCCGUGAUCAACCAGGGGUUGGUUCUCUACUGCCACUCCUAUGAUUUCUUCAUUAUUUCCAUUCACAAGCUCAACUACCACUGAACUACACCUAUUUAGUUGAUCUAGUUCAGAGUUAGGUAUUUUAAAUGCCAAUUGAAGUUUACGUGUCAAGCAAGUGUUGGUUGCUAUUUUUAGAUCCUUGACAAAUAUUUAGUUUCAUGAGUGAACUUGUUGACACAUGAACAUUUGAUGUUUACGCCGGCCGGGUCGAUGAGAAGCGGCUCCGCGCCAUUGAUAUUGCUUAUUAGUGAUGCCAUUUUCCCGUGGAUUUAUAUGGCCUCAACUGCUGCUGAGUACUAGGAGUUCUGAAAUCUAUCUUCUGUUACCUUGUCACUUAAAGGUCAACUUGAAUAGACUUUCAUUUGACACACUUCUAUUUGGAUUAAUGUUAAGCAACAACAUGAUUAUUAUUGUUUUAUAGUAUAUAAUGUUAUUCUCAUUUGUAGCCAUGGUAUGUUUUAAGAAUUUUGGAAAGCAUGUCAUUUAUUUUAAUGUUUGUUCUAAUCUCUUAUUUCUACUAUCUAAUGUCUAAUUUUGUUGUAAAUACGCUAAGGUAUUAGGUAGAGGGCUACUAUCAGGAAGGCUGACGACAAGAACCUCAAUAACAACCUCAAAUAGUUUGUUGGUACAAAUAUGCUAGGUAUCAUUAGGUAGCAGGCAACCAUCAGGAGGGCCGACGGCGAGAACCAGAAUAACAACCUCAAUCAUUUACAUGUUCUGUUUAUGUAAAUUGGAUUGUGUUAGUUCCAAACCUUGCCGUGUCUUUCACAUGUGCUGCUGAGAUGUUUGAUCACAUCAAAUCAAAAAAAUCUUGCCUUGUGCAAUUCCAUCAAAACAGCUUAGUGAUUGUUACUACAUGACAUACAUGUAAAUCCCCUGACAUCCCAUGUCCUACGUAAUUAAUUCGGUGCGUGAAGUAUUCUAGCUUGCGUAAACUAAGGUGACUUAGUACUAGUAUUAUGUUCAGUUGGUGUUCAUGUUUUAUGAUUUAGCUUGUACCUUAAUAACCAUGAAGUAAUUUGUAAGCCAUGUAAUAAAUUAUAUUUGCAGGUCUUGUCACCUUCUAUACAAAUAUACUGGUUUGUUUCAUUUCAUUAUUUUUCCUGUUAUAAGUAAUAGUACUCUCAAUACUUGCCAAGUGGACAUGUAAUACACUUUUUACACUUGUAAUACUGUUGUCUCUACUAUCUAUGAAUCUACAAAAAUCUAAUAUUCUUUUAAAUAUGCUAGGUAUGAUUGGGUAGUUACCCAUCAUAAUCUGCGCCAGGACAUGAUAGUUGUCAUCAGGAGAGUCGACGAAGAACCUCAACAGCAGCUUCAAAAGUUUAUAUGUUUUGUUGAUGUAAACUGGAUUGUACUGCUUCUUAACCUUGUUGUGUGAUAUAUUUAAUGUUGUGAAUUAUCAUUACAUGGAAGGAUUUGUAAAUUGCUAUGUUGUAUAUACACACAGGAUUUUUUUUGAGAAAAAUAUAUACAUACAGAUGGCCCGCAUAUUGCGUGAAUUGUUUGAAA
RNAcentral lists this long non-coding RNA (2576 nucleotides) under Triticum aestivum (bread wheat). RNAcentral describes it as "long non-coding RNA (TAES_LNC021344)". The record is from RNAcentral. Lineage: Eukaryota; Viridiplantae; Streptophyta; Magnoliopsida; Poales; Poaceae.